This 1084-nucleotide long non-coding RNA is filed under the name Olea europaea subsp. europaea. The record is from RNAcentral. Lineage: Eukaryota; Viridiplantae; Streptophyta; Magnoliopsida; Lamiales; Oleaceae.
AUUUAGUCUAAUUUUAUUGGAAAUAAAAAGAAUAUGUUGAACAAAAACAACAUUAUUUAUACACAAGUAUUAAAAUGUCAUCAGCUAUAUCAGGAUUGUCGAAUUGACUUGAAUGGCUUCUAAUCUAUGAUUUCCAUAUUUAAGGUUUAAAUGAUAGCUAACUUAGCACGAGAGUUGCUAGCUGCUAUGUGAGAGAUAUUGCAUCAGCAACCACCUCAAUGCCACGAGAUAGGUAUAGAUCAUCUUCAAUUAUAGAACAAUUUCGCAAGAUGCGUCCACCCGUGUUUGAAGGUGGCCUCAAUAUGCUAGCUGUUAAAGAAUGGCUUCGCCACCUUGAGUGUAUCUUUAGGUUUUUGGAAUGCAUCAAAGCACAAAAAAAUCCUUUGUGUGGUAUUUAUGAUGGAGAAGGGAGUAGGUCAUUAGUGGGAGAUGACUAUCAGAUUUGUAAAAGUGCCUUGCGAUUCUUUCGUUAUUUUUACGAUGUCCAAGUUGUGGACAUUUUGUCUAAUCCCAACAACACAUUAUCUAAAUCCAUCUGCAUGAGUACAACUUGCAUCUUACUUACCACAACGAGAAUCUUGUAUCGCGAUUCAAGAGUGGAAUUUCACACUUCAUGGCUACCAUCAAUAACAAAAACCUCGUACAAAUUACAACCAAUAACUCUGAUACCACUUGUUGAAAAUAAAAUAGAUCGGGAGAAUAUAUAUGACAUGAUAUGAAGUAUAUGAUCGUAAACAAACAAUAAGAUAAAAAGCAAAGAAUUAAUUGGCUGGUGAAUGAAGUAUUUUAUUCAAUUGACUAAUAUGAAGAAAACAAAUAUGUGUUUAUGCAAUUAUUCUAUAUUUUAGCAAUACAAAACUUGUGAGAAGAGUUUAAUAUUGUAGGGAUGCAUGCCAAACCUUAGAAAUGCCACAAAGAUGGAAGCAAGAUCAAUAAUCAUGUGGAAUAAAGGAAAGAAUAUUUUCUACAAGAUUCAACCUAAUUUGGGUCAAAGAACCCAACGGAUAAGAUUCCACAACCAUCUCAUUGGCGAAUUUUAAAGUAAUUAAUUUAAGAUUCUUGGAAUUAAAUAUCUCAACCAAAG